Cyprinus carpio (common carp) is the source of this 211-nucleotide long non-coding RNA. RefSeq lists it as uncharacterized. The transcript has 3 exons. The record is from RefSeq and is a predicted model, not a curated record. Lineage: Eukaryota; Metazoa; Chordata; Actinopteri; Cypriniformes; Cyprinidae.
CGCUGGCUGGCCCCUCGGACUCAACCAUCUGGGUAAAGGUGAGGCGAUCGAGACGACUCUGGCAGCUCUUCAAGUCGUUCCCGAACCCUUCCGCAGCUUCGCCAACACACUGGUGGACGUCUGCGCAUACGCAGGCUCCGGGAAUGUGCUGAAGGUGCAGCAGCUGCAGCAUAUCUUGGUCAGCGCGGAACACUACGACAACAAGGACAAA